AUUGAACGCUGGCGGCAGGCCUAACACAUGCAAGUCGAGCGAGAGGCGGACGGGUGGGUAAUUUAUGGGCAUCUGCCUGAUGGAGGGGGCUAACUACUGGAAACGUUAGCUAAAACCGCUUACCAUCAGUUGAAGCCAGAUGGGAUUAGCUUGUAGGUAAGGUAACGGCUUACCUAGGCGACGAUACCUAGCUGGUCUGAGAGGAUGAUCGGCCACCCGGGGACUGAGACACGGCCCAGACUCCUACGGGAGGCAGCAGUGGGGAAUAUUGCGCAAUGGGCGCAAGCCUGAUGCAGCAAUGCCGCGUGUAUGAAGAAGGCCUUCGGAUUGUAAAGUACUUUCAGUCGAGAAGCGUUACCGAACGAAGAAGCCCCGGCUAACUCCGUGCCAGCAGCCGCGGUAAUAC
RNAcentral lists this ribosomal RNA (406 nucleotides) under uncultured bacterium. RNAcentral's name for it is "partial 16S ribosomal RNA". It matches the Rfam family "Bacterial small subunit ribosomal RNA", at positions 30 to 526 of the family's 1533-position model. The record is from RNAcentral.